Molecule: ribosomal RNA, 254 nt
Filed under: uncultured bacterium
Lineage: Bacteria
Description: partial 16S ribosomal RNA
Rfam family: Bacterial small subunit ribosomal RNA
Source: RNAcentral
UACGUAGGGGGCUAGCGUUUGUCCGGAUUUAUUGGGCGUAAAGAGCGUGUAGGCGGCCAGGUAGGUCUGCUGUGAAAACUCGAGGCUCAACCUCGAGACGUCGGCGGAAACCAUCUGGCUAGAGUCCGGAAGAGGAGAGUGGAAUUCCUGGUGUAGCGGUGAAAUGCGCAGAUAUCAGGAAGAACACCCGUGGCGAAGGCGGCUCUCUGGGACGGUACUGACGCUGAGACGCGAAAGCGUGGGGAGCGAACAGG